RNAcentral lists this ribosomal RNA (119 nucleotides) under Lepisosteus oculatus (spotted gar). Lineage: Eukaryota; Metazoa; Chordata; Actinopteri; Semionotiformes; Lepisosteidae. The record is from RNAcentral.
GCCAGUAGCUGUAUCACCUUAUAACUCACAACUGGCAACCCACUGAAGCUAAGCAGGUGUGAGCCUGGUCAGUACCUGGAUGGGAGAUCUCCUGGGAAAAACUAAGGUUGCUGCUGGAA